UUCUUGGAUCAAAAUGAUUCACAAGAUGACGAGCGUGGCAAUCUCGGCGGGCUCGCUAAAGUCAGGGGAAGGAGAGAAACAAUGGGGAAGGGAGCAUAACAUGGAUGUGGGGCAGGAGGGGCCGUGGUCGGAGCGGCAUUGCGUGGGCAUAUUGGGUAUUAUUUGAGCUGAUACUCCAUUUUCUUACAAGAGAUGUGGUCCCGUCGAUGUUGGCUGUCGAAUUUGUGCUGCAGUCCAUGCCCACCACGUCCGAGUCUUCGCCCCUUUGUCAUCCAACACGAACAGC
Long non-coding RNA from Triticum dicoccoides, 286 nucleotides. RefSeq lists it as uncharacterized. NCBI's taxonomy places the organism in Eukaryota, Viridiplantae, Streptophyta, Magnoliopsida, Poales, Poaceae. The transcript has 3 exons. The record is from RefSeq and is a predicted model, not a curated record.